This 420-nucleotide ribosomal RNA is filed under the name Fusobacteriota bacterium. RNAcentral's name for it is "Fusobacteria bacterium partial 16S ribosomal RNA". It matches the Rfam family "Bacterial small subunit ribosomal RNA", at positions 355 to 776 of the family's 1533-position model. Lineage: Bacteria; Fusobacteriati; Fusobacteriota. The record is from RNAcentral.
UGGGGAAUUUUGCACAAUGGGGGGAACCUUGAUGCAGCGACGCCGCGUGAGGGAUGGAGGCCUUCGGGUUGUGAACCUCUUUCGCUCGUGUGCAAGCCGCGAUUUGGGUAGUGGUGAGUGUAGCGGGUAAAGAAGCGCCGGCUAACUACGUGCCAGCAGCCGCGGUAAUACGUAGGGCGCGAGCGUUGUCCGGAUUUAUUGGGCGUAAAGGGCUUGUAGGCGGUUGUCGCGCCUGUCGUGUAAUCCUCUGGCUUAACUGGGGGUGUGCGGUGGGUACGGGCAGGCUUGAGUGCGGUAGGGGAGAUUGGAAUUCCUGGUGUAGCGGUGGAAUGCGCAGAUAUCAGGAGGAACCCCGGUGGCGAAGGCGGGUCUCUGGGCCGUUACUGACGCUGAGGAGCGAAAGCGUGGGGAGCGAACAGG